Ailuropoda melanoleuca (giant panda) is the source of this 1207-nucleotide RNA transcript. RefSeq lists it as uncharacterized. The record is from RefSeq and is a predicted model, not a curated record. The transcript is spliced from 3 exons. NCBI's taxonomy places the organism in Eukaryota, Metazoa, Chordata, Mammalia, Carnivora, Ursidae.
CCCAAGAUCACACCUGAGCCAAAACCAAGAGUUUGUUGCUCAACCAACGGAGCCCCCAGACAUCCUGACUAGAGGAUUAAUGGGAAGGUUCUUUAGCACAUAUUUCCAUACAUGUGUAUGUGUAUAUUACAAGUGGGAAGAAUAUAUCCCUCACACUACUAGACUCUACUAUAUAUGAUAUUAUCUAUAGAUUACAUAUACCUUUCCAAAAUAGCUUUGUCUGUAUCUCUUACCUAGCUUACAUUUCACAUGUAAGGGGUAAGAAUUGUAAAGAGACUUAGUUUCCUCAAGUAGGUAUGCCAACUGUCCCUUUGAAAAAAGAGUCCCUGAAUUAUAGUGGGAGACCCAGAAGGGAGAUAAGGAUUCUAAACGUAAUCAUUCGCAUUUAAAUUCUGCCAGGGAAUGGUCUUGCUUAAAUACAUAAUGAAAUGAGAUUUGUGUAGUGGUUUCUAAAUUCAGUUGUCAGAGAAAGAAGAUAAUCAGGUCAAGUUUCAGGUUGUGGCCCUCCCUUCUGUCAUCCUUACCAUCUGUGCCCAUUCUCUUUUCUCCUGCUUAGGUAGCUGUAGGCGAGCAGUGGGUCGAUUGCCUAUGGAGAUGUCUGUCCAGAACAGGACAUUAGUUCUCUUCUUGUAGGAUCCCCUAAGGAAGGAGGAGGAAAGAGCUGUAAAAUGCCUCUCCAGACUGACAACUGCUAACAGUGAUUAUCCCUAUCUCCCCACUGAAGCAGUGGCUCGUGGUGGUGGGGCUGAGUCUGCCUCCUUUUAGUAAGCCUGCAAAGGCAACGUCUGAUCGCAAUUAUGUCUUUGGAAUUUGAGGGACGUGAUGCCUCUUUAACCACAGCUGGGGGCCUAGUAAUCAAUUCUGGGACAACAAAAGAAGAUUCACCCAACAACUUCUGACAUCCUCAUGAAUACUAUAGUCCACAGAUUCAGACCUAUCAAAAUGGAAACCAGCCACUCAGUCCAGCACAGCAAGAUCUUUGGGAUACCAAAAAAGCAGUGGAUGGGUCUCCAGAAACUGACUUUGACAAGGGCUCCUGUAUUCAAAUAUGCUGGAAGCUCACCCACCCCUGAUUUGGCAUCGUUCACUCUGUAGGAAUUAGAAUCUUUUCGAUGUGGGAGAAGGAGAGGAAGAUAUGUGAUUGUCAGCAUUCCAGGUAAGAAACAUAUCCUCACUUUGUGUGAAAUGCAAGUCUUUGGUCCAUGCA